Molecule: long non-coding RNA, 2310 nt
Filed under: Brassica napus (rape)
Lineage: Eukaryota; Viridiplantae; Streptophyta; Magnoliopsida; Brassicales; Brassicaceae
Description: long non-coding RNA (BNAP_LNC017659)
Source: RNAcentral
GAAGCCAUGGACGCUCUGAACUCCGACGGUCGGGAUUGGAAAUGAAAGUCUCUCGCUUUAACGCCAUACGGGUUCGGAGUCUGAGGGAGAGCGACGCCAGAUUUGAGAACGGAGACUGUGGCGGCGGAGGGGGAUGGAGUAAGGUGGUGAAGUAGAGCGGCGUUGAUGGAGGUGAGAGAGGCGGACAGAGUCUGAGUCCGCCUUGAGGCACCAAGGACGGAUCGGCGGAGAACUGUGCUGAUCAUUUUCAGAUCUAGAGGAGGGAGGUGAGAUGAGAAGGAAAAUGUUUGACAGAGAAAACCCAAAUUAGGGUUUUAGGGUUUUAGUGAGGGGCCUUUAAAGAAGAAGAAGGCAGGUGGCAACUUGAAAGUAUCUACGCCUCCUACAAGUAUUAAAAAAAAAAAAAAAAAGAAGAUAUUUUGUUAUAAUCGCCUGCAGGUGAGUGUAUGGUAUACUCCUGUACCUGCUGCGCGAGUUUAUUUUUCCUUGAGCCCAGAGGUGUGAACAAAGUGGGCCGAGUUACUUGGUGCGUAAAUAAUUCCGGAUUUUAUAAAUACUAAUUUGAAAUUGUCAUAAUUUGAAUUGGUUAUUUUGACUUUUAACUAAUGUUAAUUAAUUUUAAAAAUAUCUGUUCAAUGUGCAUAUCUAACCUACUACUCGGCUGGGAAAUGAGAAUCAUUUUACUGACAAAAUAGAUCCACUCUUUUUCAAAGCUGUAAACUACUCGCGCUUAUGAAGAUUUUCAUGGCGGCUUCAACCAUAGUAUGACUCUGUACAUGGGAUGCCGUGAAGACUGAUAACAAGUCUGGUGAUCACUGAGACUAAACUUGCUCUGAGCAAGCGUGGGAUCGAGGUAAUUGUGUCCCAAGGCCAUUGCUCAACUUAUUGGAUUGUGUUUUUCCAAUUCUCUACUCUGCUUCACAGCAUUAGAAUUCAUAUGGUACUACUUAUUAAUGAAAACAUUCAAAAGACUAACUAUGAUAUAUUGCAAGUCUAUUUUGUUUUGUCAAGCAAUUUCAAUAGAAAAAUCAUCUAACAAACACAUAAUGAAUUGGCAUAUAACAUUGCGCACCAAAAUUCAAACUAAAACCAUGUAUAGCUGACUUAUCUGUUGAAUCCCGUAAGAUUCAGACAUUAUUGCAGGAUCAGGUCAAAACCCCCACCUGUAAACAUUCUCAGAAACGAUAUCUCUAAGCCCUGUCUCACUUGCUGCCUAACACAGGAGACAUAUCCAAACGGGUCUUGCAGUGGAACUGCAGCUCGUACUGAGCUCCGAGGAUACGGUAACGCUUCAACCAAAACAGCUUGUUGCUAAGCUCGUGGCUCUGAGCUUUGAUGACAAGAAACCGUUUCUUGAACCUCAUCUCGAACUGCUCUCUGGACUUCUUGUCGACGUGAGGGGAACGAAGCACCGUGUACAAGGUCCUUGUGUCGGGCAUGGCGGCGUAGCGACUGUGAGGAGGAAGACACCAAGCUUCCUUCUCCGGGUUAUCGAAUGAACGGAUCGCAAUGCAGAUCCUCGUUCCUUUGAUCUUUGAUGUGCUUUCUCCUCCUCCUUUCUUCUAAUUUAAAACCGCAACACACAAGAAAGAAGCAACGGUUCAUAACUGUAUUAGAAUCAUCUAAGAACGAGUUUUAGAGAAGGAAAUGGUACCUUCUUGCUCAAUGGUUUGACAUUCUCCGGAGAGAUUUUGAUCUUAGCUGAAUCUCCGAUGCUGCUUUCACUCCCUGUGGCGUAACCUCGAAACGAGAUCUUCGCCGGGGAAACCAUAGAAGGCUCAGAUCUGAUGUGGAAGUCCCUCGCGCUGAUAACGAACGAUGCGGAGGAGAGAGUAGAUCCAUUCCCAACCAGAUUCAGCUUCACGGAGGCUCCGGUGGCGGCUGAAGUGAUAUUGAGUGAGAGACCCGAGUCAAAAGAGGUCAGCGCGGCGGAGAGAGCAUGCCUCGACGGCAAGGAAGAUCUGCGGAGUACUCCGAUCAUUUACGGAGACUGUGGCGGCGGAGGGGGAUGGAGUAAGGUGGUGAAGUAGAGCGGCGUUGAUGGAGGUGAGAGAGGCGGACAGAGUCUGAGUCCGCCUUGAGGCACCAAGGACGGAUCGGCGGAGAACUGUGCUGAUCAUUUUCAGAUCUAGAGGAGGGAGGUGAGAUGAGAAGGAAAAUGUUUGACAGAGAAAACCCAAAUUAGGGUUUUAGGGUUUUAGUGAGGGGCCUUUAAAGAAGAAGAAGGCAGGUGGCAACUUGAAAGUAUCUACGCCUCCUACAAGUAUUAAAAAAAAAAAAAAAAAGAAGAUAUUUUGUUAUAAUCGCCUG